UGGUAAUUAGUUUAAACAAAACAAAUGAUUUCGACUCAUUAAACCAUGGUUAUAACCAUGAAUACCAA
This 68-nucleotide transfer RNA is filed under the name Nannospalax golani (Golan Heights blind mole rat). RNAcentral describes it as "tRNA-Arg". It matches the Rfam family "tRNA". Rfam says of the family: Transfer RNA (tRNA) molecules are approximately 80 nucleotides in length. Their secondary structure includes four short double-helical elements and three loops (D, anti-codon, and T loops). Lineage: Eukaryota; Metazoa; Chordata; Mammalia; Rodentia; Spalacidae. The record is from RNAcentral.